Molecule: long non-coding RNA, 1350 nt
Organism: Pseudopipra pipra
Lineage: Eukaryota; Metazoa; Chordata; Aves; Passeriformes; Pipridae
Exons: 3
Source: RefSeq, a predicted model, not a curated record
AGAUAUCUUGCAUUUCAGUUAUUCAAUAAUUAAGAAUUGGAAUGUCCUUUGAAUUUUAGUAUUUCAAGGUGUUUAUAUAAGCAUAUAAAGUAGUUAAUUAAAAAGGAAGAAGUUAAAUAUGAUCAUUCUGGUUAUCUACCUUGAACUGCCCUUAAGUGCCAGCAAAAAUCUGAAGUGUGUUAUCCCCAAGUCAUUGGCAAUCAUGGCUGCAACUCUAAAAAAUGUCUUUUAAGAACACCAGUGUCAGAUUUGUCAUCUAAAACACUUGUUUGGCCCUGCAAGUUUUAAGAUGACGGAAGAUGACAGCAGCAUCUCCUCAGAAUGAAGAGAUUCACAGGGAGCCAUGAUCUCAUAGACAUAGAAUAGCUUGAGGCUUUGCUCUGAGUCAUCUCUCUCUAAUGGCAAUUUUAAGGUCACUCCUGAACAUGGUUUGCCACACUGUUUGAAGAAACGUGCACGUAUCCAUCUGCAAAAAGCCAGCUGUCCAGGAGGCAGUUCUAUUGUAAAGAGUCUACUCCUGCCUUUCAGGGAAAUAUAGCUCAGAGCUUCCUUCUUCAAGCCAAGGAGGGACUGUUAGCCCUGAGCCCUGAAGUUAACAGAGAACUCACAGUGCUUUUACUCCAUCAGUACUGUCUGCUUCAGGUAAACUGACUUUCUAAAUGUCUGACAUGAAAGAUAAUUCUAGGCAAAAUUUAAAUAUUCGUUCAAGAUUUGAUGAAGACAAAUAAUUUCAAAGGCUUGUUUUCAUUAGCGAAUCAUAGCUAUUAAUAGCAUGAUUUCUUUUCCAGUGAAGGGAAAGAAUUCCCUUCUACUUUCCAGCUGUUUAUCUCAGUUAAUAUUACCUUGCACUUGCUUUUAGUUCCUUGAUUACUCAUGUGCAAGGAGGUGGAUAGGUCUUAUCUCAUAACUGUGUGCACCUUGUCUCAAAUGCUUUUACCCGAGCUUGGGAAUUUGGCUCUUUUCUACCUAAAUGAACAACCACAAAAGAAGCUUAAAAAGCUAGUUCAUGAGAGUUCCUUAUCAGUAACAAAUACAUUUACUUCCGAGAAAUGUUGAUGGUCACACCAUGUUUCCCUUCCUAUUUAAAAAAGUCUAUCAUUCUUUUUAUUUGAAAUAAAUGAAAAACUGUUUUCCAUUCAGUCAUUCAUUAGUUAUUGAAUGGUCCAUAUUACUUGCUCUUCUCCCUGUGCACUGAAUAAUAGAAUACAGAUAUACAACAGAGCUUUCAGAAAAAGUGUGCAAGAACAGAUGGGGUUUGUGCAAAACACAUUUGUAUAGGUGAAGGAGGAACUUGACCCCGGGGCUUCAGAUUACAGAACUCUCAUAGAGAACUGGUUCCUGGGAGCAGUC